ACCAGGCUCCAGAUCCAUAAGAACCGCCCUCGGAACAAACCUACCACAAGAAGCUUCAUUAUAAUAGACAUUGAUUCUCUCAAGCUGAAGAUCAGCAUCCCCGUCAUAUCUUCCGGUGGAAUCAAUGCCGUGCUCAGCACAAACAACCUCCCAAAACUUGGCACCGAUUUGGUUGCCGCAUUGUCCACCUUGAAUAUGAAGAAUCUCACGCAUUUUGUUGAAAUUUGGGAGAAAUUUUCUUAGAAUCAGAGAGAAAUGAAAGAGAAUUUUGUGUGUG
RNAcentral lists this unclassified non-coding RNA (277 nucleotides) under Hevea brasiliensis (rubber tree). The record is from RNAcentral. Lineage: Eukaryota; Viridiplantae; Streptophyta; Magnoliopsida; Malpighiales; Euphorbiaceae.